UGGGGAAUUUUCCGCAAUGGGCGAAAGCCUGACGGAGCAAUACCGCGUGAGGGAGGAAGGCUUUUGGGUUGUGAACCUCUUUUCUUAGGGAAGAAGAAAGUGACGGUACCUAAGGAAUCAGCAUCGGCUAACUCCGUGCCAGCAGCCGCGGUAAUACGGAGGGUGCGAGCGUUAAUCGGAAUUACUGGGCGUAAAGCGCGCGUAGGCGGUUAUCUAAGCUAGAUGUGAAAGCCCUGGGCUCAACCUGGGAAUGGCAUUUAGAACUGGAUGACUGGAGUACAGCAGAGGGGUGUGGAAUUUCCGGUGUAGCGGUGAAAUGCGUAGAGAUCGGAAGGAACAUCAGUGGCGAAGGCGACACCCUGGGUUGAUACUGACGCUGAGGUGCGAAAGCGUGGGGAGCAAACAGGAUUAGAUACCCCUGUAGUCC
This 427-nucleotide ribosomal RNA is filed under the name uncultured prokaryote. Its description in RNAcentral is "bacterial SSU rRNA". It matches the Rfam family "Bacterial small subunit ribosomal RNA", at positions 355 to 796 of the family's 1533-position model. The record is from RNAcentral.